GCUGGCGGCAGGCCUAACACAUGCAAGUCGAACGGAGUUAUAUUGUAGCUUGCUAUGGUAUAACUUAGUGGCAGACGGGUGAGUAAUGUAUAGGAAUCUACCUAGUAGUACGGAAUAAUUGUUGGAAACGGCAACUAAUACCGUAUACGCCCUACGGGGGAAAAAUUUAUUGCUAUUAGAUGAGCCUAUAUUAGAUUAGCUAGUUGGUGGAGUAAUAGCCUACCAAGGCAAUGAUCUAUAGCUGAUCUGAGAGGAUGAUCAGCCACACUGGAACUGAGAUACGGUCCAGACUCCUACGGGAGGCAGCAGUGGGGAAUAUUGGACAAUGGGCGAAAGCCUGAUCCAGCCAUGCCGCAUGAGUGAAGAAGGCCUUUGGGUUGUAAAGCUCUUUUAGUGAGGAAGAUAAUGACGGUACUCACAGAAGAAGUCCUGGCUAACUCCGUGCCAGCAGCCGCGGUAAUACGGAGAGGGCUAGCGUUAUUCGGAAUUAUUGGGCGUAAAGGGCGCGUAGGCGGAUUAGUAAGUUAAAAGUGAAAUCCCAAGGCUCAACCUUGGAAUUGCUUUUAAAACUGCUAAUCUAGAGAUUGAAAGAGGAUAGAGGAAUUCCUAGUGUAGAGGUGAAAUUCGUAAAUAUUAGGAGGAACACCAGUGGCGAAGGCGUCUAUCUGGUUCAAAUCUGACGCUGAGGCGCGAAGGCGUGGGGAGCAAACAGGAUUAGAUACCCUGGUAGUCCACGCUGUAAACGAUGAAUGUUAAAUAUGGGAAGUUUUACUUUCUGUAUUACAGCUUACGCGUUAAACAUUCCGCCUGGGGACUACGGUCGCAAGAUUAAAACUUCAAGGAAUUGACGGGGACCCGC
RNAcentral lists this ribosomal RNA (859 nucleotides) under uncultured bacterium. Its description in RNAcentral is "bacterial SSU rRNA". It matches the Rfam family "Bacterial small subunit ribosomal RNA", at positions 35 to 924 of the family's 1533-position model. The record is from RNAcentral.